CCCACCCCGAUCGAUCGUAAAGUUCCAGAAGCUGCAGUGACGACCGGCCCGUCCUUUCAACCCGACAGCCGGAUCCCAGCCUUGCAGGUGCGGGGCGCGGGGGACCGGAGCGGUUCGGGACCCAGGUCCGGAAGGGGGAAGGAUGUCAGAGGCCCUGCCCACCUGAGGGCCCGGCUGGCUGCGUUCGAGGCGAGAGGAGACAGCCAGUGCGAAGGAAGGGCACCCCGAACCGCCCUGUACCCCCGAAGGCCGGGCAAUCCUCUUCCUCAGCAGACCCUGCGGGCAGCUUUCUCUACAACAGGGGACCCAGGAGACAAGCAGCGGCCAGGACUGGACCCAGGCCGGCAGUGGACAGGAGGCCGGAAGCAAGAUGCAGACUCGGAGCUUGGAGCUCGGAGCUCGGGGCUCCCAGGAAAUGCACCUCUGACUUGCAAUAUGGCACCAGAGGAGGGCCGCUGGCUGGCAUGAGAGUCACGAUGGAGGGAGGCAAAUCUCUGCUCUGACCUGUGAACAAAAGCUGACAGCUCUCUAUAGUAUUAUCUCCUUGAUUUUAGGCCGAAAGGCUGGCGCCUGGGCGUGAUUAGACCGUCUACCCCGCCCGCCGCAACCUCGCAUAUAGCCCACAAGGUGGCGCCACAAAGCAGUCGCAGCGGGACGAACCAACUGCGAGUCCAGCGAGGCGUAUGUCCGUCACCGUCCGGGUUUCCAAUACCCAGGACGUGGAGUUACAGAAGUCGCCACGUGAAUUUUUUUUUUAAAAAG
This 762-nucleotide long non-coding RNA is filed under the name Heterocephalus glaber (naked mole-rat). RNAcentral's name for it is "lncRNA (ENSHGLG00000042561.1)". Lineage: Eukaryota; Metazoa; Chordata; Mammalia; Rodentia; Bathyergidae. The record is from RNAcentral.